RNAcentral lists this ribosomal RNA (1858 nucleotides) under Hippolyte varians. RNAcentral describes it as "SSU rRNA". It matches the Rfam family "Eukaryotic small subunit ribosomal RNA". Lineage: Eukaryota; Metazoa; Arthropoda; Malacostraca; Decapoda; Hippolytidae. The record is from RNAcentral.
AGUCAUAUGCUUGUCUCAAAGAUUAAGCCAUGCAUGUGUCAGUACAGGCCGUUCUAAGGCAAAACCGCGAAUGGCUCAUUAAAUCAGUUAUCAUCUACCAGGUUAUAUAUUAACUUACUCGGAUAACCCUGGUAAUUCUAGAGCUAAUACGUGAACACGAGAACCCCGACCGCAAGGGAGGGGUGCUCUUAUCAAAUAAGAACCAAUCGGACCUCGGUCCGUGAAAUCCCCAGAGCUGACACUAGAUAAUAUUCUGCCGAGAGCACGGUCUCCGCACCGGCUCCCACCCUCACGAAUUUCUGCCUUAUCAUGCUAUGGAUUGUAGGCCACGUGCCUACCAUGGCUUUAACGGGUGACGGGGAAUCAGGGUUCGAUUCCGGAGAGGGAGCCUGAGAAACGGCUACCACAUCCAAGGAAGGCAGCAGGCACGCAAAUUACCCACUCUCAGCUCUGGGAGGUAGUGACGAAAAAUAACAAUGCGGGACUCUUCCGAGUCUGCGUAAUUGGAAUGAGAACACUUUAAAUCCUUUACCGACAACCAAUUGGAGGGCAAGUCUGGUGCCAGCAGCCGCGGUAAUUCCAGCUCCAAUAGCGUAUAUUAAGGUUGUUGCRGUUAAAAAGCUCGUAGUUCGAGCUCAAAGCGUGACUGGCCGGGGAGGUCACCGCCCGGUGUCUCUUCGCGCCAGCUCCGCAGRGAAGGUGCCUAUGACUAGGUACCAAAGCCGGUGUCGCCGGGGUGCUCUUGACCGAGUGUCCCGCGCGGCCGGCCCGUUCACCUUGAACAAAUGAGAGUGCUCAAGGCAGGCUACUCCCAAAACUUAAGCCCGAAUGUUACUUGCAUGGAAUGAUGUAACAUGACCUCGGUCCCACCUUGUUGGCUCAUGGGAUCCGAGGUAAUGAUAAACAGGGACUGCCGGGGGCAUCCGUACUACGACGCGAGAGGUGAAAUUCUGUGACCGUCGUAGGACGAACUAAAGCGAAAGCAUUUGCCAAGAAUGUCCUCGUUAAUCCAGAACGAAAGUUAGAGGAUCGAAGGCGAUCAGAUACCGCCCUAGUUCUAACCCUAAACGAUGCUGACCAGUAAUCCGCCGUCGUUAUUCCCAUGACGUGGCGGGACACCCCCGGGAAACCUCAAGUCUUUGAGUUCCGGGGGUAGUAUGGUUGCAAAACUGAAACUUAAAGGAAUUGACGGAAGGGCACCACCAGGAGUGGAGCCUGCGGCUUAAUUUGACUCAACACGGGGAACCUCACCAGGCCCGGACACUAGAAGGAUUGACAGAAUAAGAGCUCUUUCUCGAUUUGGUGGGUGGUGGUGCAUGGCCGUUCUUAGUUGGUGGAGUGAUUUGUCUGGUUAAUUCCGGUAACGAACGAGACUCUGGCCUACUAAAUAGUCGACGGGGGGUAGUUUUUCGCAAGGCCCCCGUUCGACACUGUCUUCUUAGAGGGAUGAGCAGCGAGUAUAGCUGCAGGAGAUUGAGCAAUAACAGGUCUGUGAUGCCCUUAGAUGUCCUGGGCCGCACGCGCGCUACACUGAAUGGGGUAGCGGGUCUCCCUUCUCCGAGAGGAGCGGGAAAUCGCGUGAAAACCAUUCGUGAUAGGGAUUGGGGCUUGCAAUUGUUCCCCAUGAACGAGGAAUUCCCAGUAAGCGCGAGUCACCAGCUCGCGUUGAUUAAGUCCCUGCCCUUUGUACACACCGCCCGUCGCUACUACCGAUUGAAUGGUUUAGUGAGGACUUUGGACUGGCUGGUGGUCUGGGUGCCAACUUGCCCUAUGGGCGAUGUUGGUCCCACCAUUUCGAGCCGAAAGAAGUCCGAACUUGACCAUUUAGAGGAAGUAAAAGUCGUAACAAGGUUUCCGU